GUAGGGAAUAUUGGGCAAUGGUCGGAAGACUGACCCAGCCAUGCCGCGUGCAGGAAGACGGCCCUCUGGGUUGUAAACUGCUUUUAUCUGGGAAGAAAAAGGCCAUGCGUGGCAAAUUGCCGGUACCAGAUGAAUCAGCACCGGCUAACUCCGUGUCAGCAGCCGCGGUAAUACGGAGGGUGCGAGCGUUGUCCGGAUUUAUUGGGUUUAAAGGGUGCGUAGGCGGCUGAUUAAGUCAGCGGUGAAAGACUUCGGCUUAACCGGAGCAGUGCCGUUGAUACUGGUUGGCUUGAGUGUCGGAGGGGUACAUGGAAUUGAUGGUGUAGCGGUGAAAUGCAUAGAUACCAUCAGGAACACCGAUAGCGAAGGCAUUGUACUGGCCGACAACUGACGCUGAUGCACGAAAGUGUGGGGAUCGAACAGGAUUAGAUACCCGGGUAGUCC
This 444-nucleotide ribosomal RNA is filed under the name uncultured bacterium. RNAcentral's name for it is "partial 16S ribosomal RNA". It matches the Rfam family "Bacterial small subunit ribosomal RNA", at positions 354 to 796 of the family's 1533-position model. The record is from RNAcentral.